GACGAACGCUGGCGGCGUGCUUAACACAUGCAAGUCGAACGGAAAGGCCCUGCUUUUGUGGGGUGCUCGAGUGGCGAACCGGUGAGUAACACGUGAGUAACCUGCCCUUGACUUUGGGAUAACUUCAGGAAACUGGGGCUAAUACCGGAUAGGAGCUCCUGCUGCAUGGUGGGGGUUGGAAAGGUUCGGCGGUUGGGGAUGGGCUCGCGGCCUAUCAGCUUGUUGGUGGGGUAGUGGCUUACCAAGGCUUUGACGGGUAGCCGGCCUGAGAGGGUGACCGGCCACAUUGGGACUGAGAUACGGCCCAGACUCCUACGGGAGGCAGCAGUGGGGAAUAUUGCACAAUGGGCGGAAGCCUGAUGCAGCAACGCCGCGUGCGGGAUGACGGCCUUCGGGUUGUAAACCGCUUUCGCCUGUGACGAAGCGUGAGUGACGGUAAUGGGUAAAGAAGCACCGGCUAACUACGUG
RNAcentral lists this ribosomal RNA (468 nucleotides) under uncultured bacterium. RNAcentral describes it as "partial 16S ribosomal RNA". It matches the Rfam family "Bacterial small subunit ribosomal RNA", at positions 28 to 507 of the family's 1533-position model. The record is from RNAcentral.